RNAcentral lists this non-coding RNA (45 nucleotides) under Trichobilharzia regenti. Lineage: Eukaryota; Metazoa; Platyhelminthes; Trematoda; Strigeidida; Schistosomatidae. The record is from RNAcentral.
ACCCAGAAGACGAGUCUCAAAUCAGACGAAAUGUGCGUCCUGCAU